Long non-coding RNA from Syngnathus acus (greater pipefish), 2501 nucleotides. RefSeq lists it as uncharacterized. The record is from RefSeq and is a predicted model, not a curated record. NCBI's taxonomy places the organism in Eukaryota, Metazoa, Chordata, Actinopteri, Syngnathiformes, Syngnathidae. The transcript has 8 exons.
UUGACUGCUCCGUGUUUUUGAUGGCUAAUGAAGGCUUAAAUGCUCUUUGGCGUAUGUGUUGUGCGCGGUCCGCAGGGAACGCCGCCGCCCGCCCGUGUCCUGUCCUGCAUUGAUGCCAUCACGCUCUCAUCUGCAUGCCACGCUUGACAGCUCAGACCUUCUUUCAUCCACACACCAUCUCCCUUCCUUUAUCAUCUUGGUCUCUCUGUCACUUUCCAUUAAUUCCCACUUCUGUUUGUCUCUCUUCAUUUUCUUUUUGCAGUUCUUUUUUCGCAGUCUCGCCUGCGUUCUGAUUUUGGUCGAUACCGCGUGUGUUAAGGAUUCACUGGUUGUGCUUUCUAGAUAAACACCCUGUUAGCAGGAUUAUCCUUGUUGUCCUAACAAUGUAAACCCGGGAUUAGGCCUCGCUCUCCUGGGAUGCAAGUACGUGUGUGUUGCGGUCAUUAGUCUGCUUUUGAGGAAUACUGAGGUCCCGUUAGUUCAACACAAAGGAAAUAUAAGAAGCUUGCAUUGCAAUUUAACAUAAAGGCCGCAUUGAAGUUAAUGAUCAAUAUUUUUUUUAUAAGUCUGAGGUGCAAAGGAAUGAAGGUGUGAAGGAUUCGGGUGAAGCUCUUUGGAGCAAGCUGCGGUGGCGAUUGAAAGGGCAAAGCCUUUACCUUUUGCCACAUUAAGCAAGCGUAUCCUGUACUUCUCAUCACUCUGCAAGUCCCUCGUCAUGGCUGCGAUACCACCCGAGGACCCGAAGACAAGCUCCCAAACGCGCCUGCAGAAGUGGAGUGGAAGCAGUUGUGUUUAGCUUGGCGGCCAAAACUAGCAGGGGUCAAAGACAUGUGAGUCAACCAGGAAGUAUCAGGCUGCGUCGACAGGAAGUGAGCGGACCAAACAGGAAGGAGCAGGCUACUGAGAGGCGGCGACAUUCACAGCGGGGAUUGAAACAUUGACAAUGUGUACCUCGAGGUGCUCUCCAUCCUAAGAGAACCUCUGAUUGGUCGCUCCAGAUACUGAAGAAGCUCCAGCUGACUCCAGGCCAGCACGGUGGAGGAAGCGGAGAAGUGCAGGUGUCACAUUGUCAGGGUUGUCACCAAGCCAAUUACACCUGGAUCGCACAUAAACAACACAAUGGCACACACACGAUAUGAGUGAAAGAGCAGCAAAAGAAAAAUACACAAACACAGAGAUGAUAGCUUCUCACAACCAGUCCUCUUUUUCUUCUCCAAGCGUGUGUGUGCUCUAAUAGCAUUUAAUGCGCAGACUAAUGGUUUCUGUAGGGAAUCCUUGUGUGCAGUCUGAGUAGAAGCUUGGGCUGAGUGCUGGCAGGCAAUCCCUCAUCCUGAUACCACAUGGAGCUGAGAGCCAGGGGAGCAUCCAACCUCUCCGUUUCUGACUGACUCUCAUCCCCCACGUGUCUUUAUCACACCGCAAUUUAUUUGGACUGUAAUGAAGACGCGAUGGGCUCCGGGCCGUACCCGGCGGCGACGGGGUGACACUGAUGAAUGGCUGAAGGUGCGCUCACUGCUGUCAGCCAGGAGAGGGACGACUGUCAGCUUGCUGCAAUUAGGGGGCGCCUGAAGAUGAUGUCUUGUGAAAGGCAGGUUAGAAGAUUGGAUUGGUGGACGUGACGUCAAACCUGUAGGUGAAUAGAAACCAGGAGGAGGAGCAUUAUAGCUCAGGGCAAGGAGGUCCAGAUAAGGGGACAGGAAUGUGACACGAGCUGGGACCGAUGACCGCUGAUAACAUGAGGUGUGGGUGUGUGAAUGUGUGAGUACACACGUGUGUGUAUGUGCACGUUGGGCCCAUCUUCAGUGUGUGUGUGUAGGAAUGAUGAGGGGGGUCAGUUAUCAGCACUGUCUAUGUCAGCACCUCCAUCUGGUGUCAGCCAUGGUGUGUAUGUGCAAGUGUGUUGUGUGUGUGUGUGUUCAUGGGUCUGUGUCUGGAGAGCAGGAAGAGCAGUCUGGCUUGUGAACUGAUGACACGAGCACAGUCUUUUGUGCCUUGUGCUCUUUGUCUGUAUUAUUAUUAUCAUUAUUAUUAUUAUUAUUAUUAUAUUAUUAUUAUUACAGUUCAUAAAUUCAGCAUGGUCACUCAAAGGGGGGAUAGGACGUCACCAUGACAACAUAAGAGCUGCUAUGCUGAAGCCUUCCAUGCACAGCUUCAGUCCUCUGCUGCCAACUACUGGAGAAAUGUUGGUACAACAUGCCUUGACGUAAAAAUUGGACUCUUAGAAUAUACGUAUUAUUUGUAACCACAGCUAUACUGAUUUUCAAGAAAGGCAUUUGUCUGAAACAUCAGGGCAGUUGUCUCUGAACCAACUGUGCGCCCCCAAAACAUCUCAGCAGAACAUUCCAAAAGUCGAUUUUAUCAUCCAAAAUAUAUGGAAAUGGGGUAGACGCCUGAUUCGUAUGGCCAAACCCUGAAAUAAGUCAUUCCAAAUAGGUCAUAAUAAUUAUAGAGAGUGCUGCUUGUCGGCCAUUAUCAUUCAAGCGCAAUCUUUGCACUGCAAG